RNAcentral lists this ribosomal RNA (253 nucleotides) under uncultured bacterium. Its description in RNAcentral is "partial 16S ribosomal RNA". It matches the Rfam family "Bacterial small subunit ribosomal RNA", at positions 524 to 776 of the family's 1533-position model. The record is from RNAcentral.
UACAGAGGGGGCAAGCGUUGUUCGGAAUUACUGGGCGUAAAGGGCGCGUAGGCGGCCUUCUAAGUCGAACGUGAAAUCCCCGGGCUCAACCCGGGAACUGCGUCCGAUACUGGAAGGCUUGAAUCCGGGAGAGGGAUGCGGAAUUCCAGGUGUAGCGGUGAAAUGCGUAGAUAUCUGGAGGAACACCGGUGGCGAAGGCGGCAUCCUGGACCGGCAUUGACGCUGAGGCGCGAAAGCUAGGGGAGCGAGCAGG